GAUGAACGCUGGCGGCGUGCUUAACACAUGUAAGUCGAACGGUGAAGCCAAGCUUGCUUGGUGGAUCAGUGGCGAACGGGUGAGUAAUACGUUAGCAACCUGCCCUGGACUCUGGGAUAAGCGCUGGAAACGGCGUCUAAUACUGGAUAUGAGCCUCUUCCGCAUGGUGGGGGUUGGAAAGAUUUUUUGGUCUGGGAUGGGCUCGCGGCCUAUCAGCUUGUUGGUGAGGUAAUGGCACACCAAGGCGUCGACGGGUAGCGGGCCUGAGAGGGUGACCGGACACACUGGGACUGAGACACGGCCCAGACUCCUACGGGAGGCAGCGGUGGAGAAUAUUACACAAUGGGCGAAAGCCUGAUGCAGCAACGCCGCGUGAGGGAAGACGGCCUGCGGGUUGUAAACCUCAUUUAGCAGGGAAGAAGCGAAAGUGACGGUACCUGCAGAAAAAGCGCCGGCUAACUACGUG
RNAcentral lists this ribosomal RNA (466 nucleotides) under uncultured bacterium. Its description in RNAcentral is "partial 16S ribosomal RNA". It matches the Rfam family "Bacterial small subunit ribosomal RNA", at positions 28 to 507 of the family's 1533-position model. The record is from RNAcentral.